GACAACCCGAGAGAUCGGGCGUUCCCCUUCGGGGGGACAGGGUGACAGGUGGUGCAUGGUUGUCGUCAGCUCGUGUCGUGAGAUGUUGGGUUAAGUCCCGCAACGAGCGCAACCCUCGACCUUAGUUGCCAGCAUUCAGUUGGGCACUCUAAGGUGACUGCCGGCUAAAAGUCGGAGGAAGGUGGGGAUGACGUCAAAUCAUCAUGCCCCUUAUGACCUGGGCUACACACGUGCUACAAUGGGCGGUACAAAGGGUCGCGAACCCGCGAGGGGGAGCCAAUCCCAAAAAGCCGCUCUCAGUUCGGAUUGCAGGCUGCAACUCGCCUGCAUGAAGCCGGAAUCGCUAGUAAUCGCCGGAUCCAGCAUGCCGCGGUGAAUACGUUCCCGGGCCUU
This 393-nucleotide ribosomal RNA is filed under the name uncultured Anoxybacillus sp. RNAcentral describes it as "bacterial SSU rRNA". It matches the Rfam family "Bacterial small subunit ribosomal RNA", at positions 993 to 1382 of the family's 1533-position model. Lineage: Bacteria; Bacillati; Bacillota; Bacilli; Caryophanales; Anoxybacillaceae. The record is from RNAcentral.